Lycium barbarum (goji berry) is the source of this 664-nucleotide long non-coding RNA. RefSeq lists it as uncharacterized. Lineage: Eukaryota; Viridiplantae; Streptophyta; Magnoliopsida; Solanales; Solanaceae. The transcript is spliced from 3 exons. The record is from RefSeq and is a predicted model, not a curated record.
GCCUUGCAGCUAGGCAGUUGAUCCAUUCAUUGCUAAAUAGAGAUCCUGCCAGCCGUUUAGGAUCAAAUGGUGGUGCAACUGAGAUCAAACAGCAUCCUUUCUUCCGUGAAAUAAAUUGGCCGCUAAUUCGGUGCAUGACUCCUCCACCACUAGAUGCGCCACUUCAGUUAAUUGGAAAGGAAUCAGGUACCAAGGAUAUUAACUGGAAUGAUGAUGGAGUACUUGAUCAUCCAAUGGACUUAUUCUAGAGGAUUUUUUCAAUCAACCAUAAAGGACAUGUAUCUGGAACUAAUUAUGUGCAGUUCUAAAGAAGGGACCUUUCUGAUGAAGGAAUUUUAUAUUGUAUAGAAGAUGUUUUAGCCCCUCUUUUUGAUAUUUUGCUCUCAUUUUGGCUUAAGGACCUUGUUCUUAUUUAAGUUUGGAAGGCAAUGAAGGCGAUUUACAUAGAAUUUGUAGAAUGGUGUGAUUAGUAGGAAUUAAAACCUUCCUUCAAAAUUAGAAUCAGUAGUUGUAGGUUUUGUUGGUACAUAAACUUGGCUACUCUUGUAUCAUAGGGUAAAGAUGUAUUUGAGGCAAAAUCAAUAAGCUGCUCUCUUGUAAACUAAUAAAUCAUAUUUAUUGUACUCUAAGCAGCUUCGACCAAUUAUUACUCUGCAAAAUAAGU